This 250-nucleotide unclassified non-coding RNA is filed under the name Diaporthe phaseolorum. Its description in RNAcentral is "partial contains 5.8S ribosomal RNA, internal transcribed spacer 2, and large subunit ribosomal RNA". The record is from RNAcentral. Lineage: Eukaryota; Fungi; Ascomycota; Sordariomycetes; Diaporthales; Diaporthaceae.
CGCACAUUGCGCCCUCUGGUAUUCCGGAGGGCAUGCCUGUUCGAGCGUCAUUUCAACCCUCAAGCCUGGCUUGGUGUUGGGGCACUGCCUUGUCUACAAGGCAGGCCCUGAAAUCUAGUGGCGAGCUCGCUAGGACCCCGAGCGUAGUAGUUAUAUCUCGUUCUGGAAGGCCCUGGCGGUGCCCUGCCGUUAAACCCCCAACUUCUGAAAAUUUGACCUCGGAUCAGGUAGGAAUACCCGCUGAACUUAA